CAAACCUUUCCUCGCGGGAGAAAGAGCGAAUCCCAGUUGAGACCCCACGAAUGAAGACCCUGCUGCCUUCAGACACGGCACCGUUAAGCCCUCAAGCUUCUUGACGUUUGUGGUGGGAGCUCCAUUUUCCAGGCUGAGAGGGAAGGAAGCCAGGCCCACACACAGCCUUCUAAGCCAUCAGCUUUGGAGUGCUCCCCUAGGAUGCCAUUCCUGACUCAGAUCAAAGUAGAUGUGCGUAGGAAUUCACUCAAGCAUCCAGUUGUUCCCCCAAAGCUCCCUUGUGACCCUGGCUUUUUUCUUCUGCCCGAAGACUGCACUGGGACUUGGGUUACCCUUUAACCACCUGGACCUGCAGCCUGGAGUUGCUCGGUUGGUUAUGGGGCCUCGGGUGGCUUGUGACUAUCGCCUGCAUUACGAAUGCCAAGUUCACUGAGUCAGCGUGUGGCCUCGCAGGAGCACCUGCUUUCACGGAUUCCACAAACAUUCUGUUCAACCCCUGCCUGCCGGAGCUCUGCACCGAGAUUCCAGAUGGUGCCCGGGGCAGGAAGGUUCACCAAGGCUGGGAACUGCAGGUGUGGGCGGAGCAGCCCGAGAGGCUCUGGUGCCUCUGAUGACGGAGGUUGGGAGAGAGGGCCACCUUGUCCCACUGUGGGACCUGAAAACGCUCAUGCCUGCAAGUCCCACAGGCACUGGGGACUUGGAGAGGACAAGCUUGAUGUCAGUCCUGGGUGUCACCCCCUUCCCUCCGGUCAGAGUGUGUGUGGUUUCUUACCCUCUGCAUCCUGGGUCCUGUACUCAGCCUGUGACGGCCGCAUCCCAUACGGGUGCUGGUUUGAGUCCCGGCUGCUCCACUUCUGAUUCAGCUCCCUGCUAAUGGGCUGGGAAAGCAGUGGAAGAUGGCCCACAUGCUCCACAUGGGAGACUUGUAAGAAGCUCUUUGGCCUGGCCCAGCCCCAGCCAUUGUGGACAUCUGGGGAGUGAACCAGUGGAUGGAAGAUCUCUCUGUGUCUCUCCCUCUCUCUCUAUA
This is a long non-coding RNA of Lepus europaeus (European hare), 1027 nucleotides long. RefSeq lists it as uncharacterized. The transcript is spliced from 3 exons. The record is from RefSeq and is a predicted model, not a curated record. NCBI's taxonomy places the organism in Eukaryota, Metazoa, Chordata, Mammalia, Lagomorpha, Leporidae.